RNAcentral lists this small RNA (27 nucleotides) under Bombyx mori (domestic silkworm). Its description in RNAcentral is "ovarian small RNA-17302". Lineage: Eukaryota; Metazoa; Arthropoda; Insecta; Lepidoptera; Bombycidae. The record is from RNAcentral.
GGACUUCACUGGGCCCUUCAUGAUCAA